GAACAUUAGAAAAUCGUCCAAGGAAACACUGUAAAGCAAUAGUAAUUGUUAAAAGAAAUAAAAAUGGAAGGUCAAAAGUUUGUUGCAGUGUUUCUUAUGUGCAUGGUUGUAUUUACAGCUGUGUGUGAAGCCACAGAAGAAGAGUAUCAGGAUUGCUAUCACACAUGUCACGAUGAAUGCACAGCUAAACAAGGACAAGGUUAUACCUUUUGUGAGAUGAAGUGUGAUGCAGACUGCUCAAAGAAGGAUUUCGUUGCUCAAUUCCCUAAAUUCAAGGCUUAAUGAGGAGGACCAAAGACAUAAUAAAAGCAGUCGGAUUAAUUAAUGUAUUACUGCUCAUUGUAAUUUUCAAAAUUCAAUAAAAAGAAAAAUAUUCAUUUCCA
Molecule: long non-coding RNA, 383 nt
Organism: Solanum lycopersicum (tomato)
Lineage: Eukaryota; Viridiplantae; Streptophyta; Magnoliopsida; Solanales; Solanaceae
Source: RefSeq, a predicted model, not a curated record